This 370-nucleotide ribosomal RNA is filed under the name uncultured Hydrogenophaga sp. RNAcentral's name for it is "bacterial SSU rRNA". It matches the Rfam family "Bacterial small subunit ribosomal RNA", at positions 1004 to 1382 of the family's 1533-position model. Lineage: Bacteria; Pseudomonadati; Pseudomonadota; Betaproteobacteria; Burkholderiales; Comamonadaceae. The record is from RNAcentral.
AUAGAGGAGUGCUCGAAGAGAGCCGUAACACAGGUGCUGCAUGGCUGUCGUCAGCUCGUGUCGUGAGAUGUUGGGUUAAGUCCCGCAACGAGCGCAACCCUUGUCAUUAGUUGCUACAAAGGGGCACUCUAAUGAGACUGCCGGUGACAAACCGGAGGAAGGUGGGGAUGACGUCAAGUCCUCAUGGCCCUUAUAGUGGGGCUACACACGUCAUACAAUGGGCUGGUACAAAGGGUUGCCAACCCGCAGGGGGAGCCAAUCCCAUAAAGCCAGUCGUAGUCCGGAUCGCAGUCUGCAACUCGACUGCGUGAAGUCGGAAUCGCUAGUAAUCGUGGAUCAGCAUGUCACGGUGAAUACGUUCCCGGGUCUU